AGUGAACGCUGGCGGUAGGCCUAACACAUGCAAGUCGAACGGCAGCACAGUAAGAGCUUGCUCUUACGGGUGGCGAGUGGCGGACGGGUGAGGAAUACAUCGGAAUCUACUUUUUCGUGGGGGCUAACGUAGGGAAACUUACGCUAAUACCGCAUACGACCUACGGGUGAAAGCAGGGGAUCUUCGGACCUUGCGCGAUUGAAUGAGCCGAUGUCGGAUUAGCUAGUUGGCGGGGUAAAGGCCCACCAAGGCGACGAUCCGUAGCUGGUCUGAGAGGAUGAUCAGCCACACUGGAACUGAGACACGGUCCAGACCCCGACGGGAGGCAGCAGUGGGGAAUAUUGGGCAAUGGGCGCAAGCCUGAACCAGCCAUACCGCGGGGGUGAAGAAGGCCUUCGGGUUGUAAAGCCCUUUUGUUGGGAAAGAAAAGCAGCAGGUUAAUACCCCGCUGUUCGGACGGUACCCAAAGAAUAAGCACCGGCUAACUUCGU
RNAcentral lists this ribosomal RNA (491 nucleotides) under uncultured bacterium. RNAcentral describes it as "partial 16S ribosomal RNA". It matches the Rfam family "Bacterial small subunit ribosomal RNA", at positions 29 to 506 of the family's 1533-position model. The record is from RNAcentral.